AGUAGAAUGACUGAGGAAAAAGGUGAAAGAUUGUAAAUCUUUCUAGGGGAUAAGACUCUUCUACUA
Molecule: transfer RNA, 66 nt
Filed under: Perisphaerus sp. 2 ZQW-2023b
Lineage: Eukaryota; Metazoa; Arthropoda; Insecta; Blattodea; Blaberidae
Description: tRNA-Tyr
Source: RNAcentral